Molecule: ribosomal RNA, 460 nt
Filed under: uncultured bacterium
Lineage: Bacteria
Description: partial 16S ribosomal RNA
Rfam family: Bacterial small subunit ribosomal RNA
Source: RNAcentral
CCUACGGGUGGCAGCAGUGAGGAAUAUUGGUCAAUGGGCGCGCGCCUGAACCAGCCAAGUAGCGUGAAGGAUGACUGCCCUACGGGUUGUAAACUUCUUUUAUAAAGGAAUAAAGUGAGGCACGUGUGCCUUUUUGUAUGUACUUUAUGAAUAAGGAUCGGCUAACUCCGUGCCCGCCGCCGCGGUAAUACGGAGGAUCCGGGCGUUAUUCGGAUUUAUUGGGUUUAAAGGGAGCGUAGAUGGGUUGUUAAGUCAGUUGUGAAAGUUUGCGGCUCAACCGUAAAAUUGCAGUUGAUACUGGCAGUCUUGAGUGCAGUGGAGGUAGGCGGAAUGCGUGGUGUAGCGGUGAAAUGCUUAGAUAUCACGAAGAACUCCGAUUGCGAAGGCAGCAUACUAAACUGCCACUGACAUUGAUGCUCGAAAGUGUGGGUAUCGAACAGGAUUAGAUACCCGAGUAGUC